AACGAACGCUGGCGGCAUGCCUAACACAUGCAAGUCGAACGAGACCUUCGGGUCUAGUGGCGCACGGGUGCGUAACGCGUGGGAACCUGCCCUUAGGUUCGGAAUAACUCCCCGAAAGGGGUGCUAAUACCGGAUAAUGUCUUCGGACCAAAGAUUUAUCGCCUUUGGAUGGGCCCGCGUUGGUUUAGCUAGUUGGUAGGGUAAAAGCCUACCACGGCGACGAUCCAUAGCUGGUCUGAGAGGAUGAGCAGCCACACUGGGACGGAGACACGGCCCAGACUCCUACGGGAGGCAGCAGUGGGGAAUAUUGGACAAUGGGCGAAAGCCUGAUCCAGCAAUGCCGCGUGAGUGAUGAAGGCCUUAGGGUUGUAAAGCUCUUUUACCCGGGAUGAUAAUGACAGUACCGGGAGAAUAAGCUCCGGCUAACUCCGUG
RNAcentral lists this ribosomal RNA (433 nucleotides) under uncultured bacterium. Its description in RNAcentral is "partial 16S ribosomal RNA". It matches the Rfam family "Bacterial small subunit ribosomal RNA", at positions 29 to 507 of the family's 1533-position model. The record is from RNAcentral.